RNAcentral lists this ribosomal RNA (430 nucleotides) under uncultured bacterium. Its description in RNAcentral is "partial 16S ribosomal RNA". It matches the Rfam family "Bacterial small subunit ribosomal RNA", at positions 354 to 796 of the family's 1533-position model. The record is from RNAcentral.
GUGGGGAAUAUUGCACAAUGGGCGCAAGCCUGAUGCAGCGACGCCGCGUGAGGGAUGGAGGCCUUCGGGUUGUAAACCUCUUUUAUCGGGGAGCAAGCGAGAGUGAGUUUACCCGUUGAAUAAGCACCGGCUAACUACGUGCCAGCAGCCGCGGUAAUACGUAGGGUGCAAGCGUUAUCCGGAAUUAUUGGGCGUAAAGGGCUCGUAGGCGGUUCGUCGCGUCCGGUGUGAAAGUCCAUUGCUUAACGGUGGAUCCGCGCCGGGUACGGGCGGGCUUGAGUGCGGUAGGGGAGACUGGAAUUCCCGGUGUAACGGUGGAAUGUGUAGAUAUCGGGAAGAACACCAAUGGCGAAGGCAGGUCUCUGGGCCGUUACUGACGCUGAGGAGCGAAAGCGUGGGGAGCGAACAGGAUUAGAUACCCGGGUAGUCC